RNAcentral lists this ribosomal RNA (477 nucleotides) under uncultured bacterium. Its description in RNAcentral is "bacterial SSU rRNA". It matches the Rfam family "Bacterial small subunit ribosomal RNA", at positions 328 to 793 of the family's 1533-position model. The record is from RNAcentral.
UCAGUCGACUCCUACGGGGAGGCAGCAGUGGGGAAGUAUUGCACAAUGGGCGCAAGCCUGAUGCAGCCAUGCCGCGUGUGUGAAGAAGGACCUUCGGGUUGUAAAGCACUUUCAGUCGUGAGGAAGGUAGUGUAGUUAAUAGCUGCAUUAUUUGACGUUAGCGACAGAAGAAGCACCGGCUAACUCCGUGCCAGCAGCCGCGGUAAUACGGAGGGUGCGAGCGUUAAUCGGAAUUACUGGGCGUAAAGCGCAUGCAGGUGGUUUGUUAAGUCAGAUGUGAAAGCCCGGGGCUCAACCUCGGAAUAGCAUUUGAAACUGGCAGACUAGAGUACUGUAGAGGGGGGUAGGAAUUUCAGGUGUAGCGGUGAAAUGCGUAGAGAUCUGAAGGAAUACCGGUGGCGAAGGCGGCCCCCUGGACAGAUACUGACACUCAGAUGCGAAAGCGUGGGGAGCAAACAGGAUUAGAUACCCUGGUAG